This 450-nucleotide ribosomal RNA is filed under the name uncultured bacterium. Its description in RNAcentral is "partial 16S ribosomal RNA". It matches the Rfam family "Bacterial small subunit ribosomal RNA", at positions 338 to 795 of the family's 1533-position model. The record is from RNAcentral.
CCUACGGGUGGCAGCAGUAAGGAAUAUUGGUCAAUGGAGGAAACUCUGAACCAGCCAUCCCGCGUGAAGGAUGAAGGGGCUCUGCCUUGUAAACUUCUUUUGUCUGGGGCGAAAAAGCUCGAUUUAUCGAGAACUGACGGUACCAGAAGAAUAAGCACCGGCUAACUCCGUGCCAGCAGCCGCGGUAAUACGGAGGGUGCCGGCGUUAUCCGGAGUAAAGGGGUUUUAGGCGUGCGUAGACGUCAUAGGUGAAAGGCUGUGGCUUAACCAUGGAAUUGCCAUUGAGACUGCAGAGCUUGAAUGAGGUUGAGGUUGGCGGAAUGUGACAUGUAGCGGUGAAAUGCUUAGAUAUGUCAUGGAACACCGAUUGCGAAGGCAGCUGACUGGACCUAUAUUGACGCUGAGGCACGAAAGCGUGGGGAGCGAACAGGAUUAGAUACCCGUGUAGUC